GACGAACCGUGCGAACGUUGUUCGGAUUCACUGGGCUUAAAGGGCGCGUAGGCGGCUCGCCAAGUCGGGGGUGAAAUCUUUCGGCUCAACCGGAAAAUAGCUUCCGAUACUGGCGGGCUGGAGGGAGGUAGGGGCGACUGGAACUUCCGGUGGAGCGGUGAAAUGCGUAGAUAUCGGAAGGAACGCCGGUGGCGAAAGCGGGUCUCUGGGCCGAUAUUGACGCUGAGGAGCGAAAGCGUGGGGAGCGAACAGG
RNAcentral lists this ribosomal RNA (253 nucleotides) under uncultured bacterium. RNAcentral's name for it is "partial 16S ribosomal RNA". It matches the Rfam family "Bacterial small subunit ribosomal RNA", at positions 524 to 776 of the family's 1533-position model. The record is from RNAcentral.